Fukomys damarensis (Damara mole-rat) is the source of this 2239-nucleotide long non-coding RNA. The record is from Ensembl. NCBI's taxonomy places the organism in Eukaryota, Metazoa, Chordata, Mammalia, Rodentia, Bathyergidae.
CUGCAUUGUUUUUAAACCUUUUUAUUGGAAGUACGAAUUCAAUGCCAGACAUUACAAUGGAAGGCAGUAAGUUCAUAAAUUCUUUCUUUCAUUUAUUUGUUUAUUUUGUACUGGGGAUCGUCGAACUCGGGUCUUGGAGCUUGCAAGGCAAGGCAGGUGGCGGAACCACUGUGCCAAUUCCCCGGCCCUGAGGACCCGAAAUUUAUCACACAAACCCAGACACUUUGGAGCCAAUAAGGAACCUCUUAUAAUUACACCUGAAAGUAGAUGGAAAACGGGGUGGCCCCCGCAAACCGGGAUGUAUGGCUACCCUACCAAAGGGGCCAGGGUCUGGCAGGGAGAAAAUGAUUCUGAGGGAGGUGGAAACCUUUAUGGCUCUAGCUGUUGGCUUGGCAGGGAGUGACUUCUAGGGACCUUCCGGGUAGCUCGCCGUUGUCUGGGGACCUGAAAUAGGAGGAAAGACGUUGUCUGCAAACACUGAACAGGUGGCGUUUGUUUCUCUGAGGAAUUCCCAGCUGCUGAGUUUACUGUCUCAGCUCUCCCUGUGCCUUCACGGGCAGUUACAGGGUUUGAAAGGUUUCAUGCUGUCCAGGUGGAACCUCCUCCACCUGUCGGGCAGCUGCACAAUCUGGGACAGACCGCGGGCUGGGCGCUCUUCCUCUGCGUCAUUGCUGCGGUUUGAAUAAGAAACGGGAAUGGCGGACGACCUGGGGAAGAUGAACUGCGAGUCCUCCCAGCGCGCCAGACUGGGCUUAGGUUUCAUUUUCUUAAGGCUUAGGUAUCAUUUCCCCGAGAGGAAGCACACAAUAGUAAUUUUAAAAAAUCAUUUUCCAUAAAAACGUGUGUAUUAGAAAAUGAUGAGGACGAGCAGGUCCUGUGGGAAGAUGAGAAGACUUUCCGGAGUGAGAGGCGAAGGACGUGUUCCAAGCAGAGGGAGCUCAGCAGGCCAGAAGACAGCCAGAGAAGAGCCAAGGCCAGAGGGAGUCAGGAUGGAUGACCCAGUGAAGGCCAAGAUAAUUUUUUACUCUUUGCGGAAACCACCAUGGCUGAGCACCUUGAAGACCCCUCUUCCUCUCCUACCCAUACUCCAACCCUCAAGCUCCACCUCCCCUUGCCUCCUGUAUUGUAGCGGCUUCCCACAGACACCUGUGCUUGCCUUGGACACAAGUGCUUUGGAGCAGAGCACCCGGAAAGUGAACUUCUUUAGUAUUAGCAUUUAUUGCUAGAUGUGAACACGUGCUUUACAGUGCUGGAAGACUCUUCCCACAGGGGGCCUGUGUGCCUCCCACAACAUCCGAGAAAAAUCCCACGUGGACAUGCUGAAGAAAAACGGUGUCUGUGCUCUUGGUGCUGCCCUUGUCUUCCUAUAUCCCGUAAUGUCCCUUACAAGGCAGCACACUCCUGAGCAAGGUAGAGGUUGGCAGGACUCUUGUACUUGUAAAUGUUUUGCUGGUCUAAAGGUGAGUUUAUGAGGAUGUUUAUGAGGAUGAUCUCACAAGACAGCGAAACACAGACUCAGCUUGUCUCCUGAGUGAGACCGAGCUGCAAUGACUGGGGUUUAGGCCAAAGAGCUCUCGGGUGGGUGCAGAGUCACUGUUUGUAGCCAACACGGUGGGAAGAGUUGUUAGGAGAAUGCCCAGGGGUGCUUCUGUCUGGAGAGCACCCAAGCCAAUCAAAAUUUACAGCCCUGGGGCAAGGGAGCCAAAGCACUCCACUUGGUGAUCUCCACAAGUUCUUCUUCUGAGGGGACUGCUCAGCAAAGAGAAAUCAAGACCCACCUUUCACAGAGCAGGAGAGUGAGGAAAUAAAAUGCAAAGGAGCAAAUGACAGUGUAUAGUACACCAGACACGUGUAAAAUAGGGUCAGAGUACCUGCCCUGAAGGUUGCUUAAUAAGUAAAUAUUUCCUUUUUAAAAGUUUUAUGUUCAUAAAACAAAAGUAGCACCUAAGCAAUCCUUUAUUAUAUGACACACUGCAUACUGAUCUCUCUCUCUCUCUCUGUUUUAUAGGUUGUGUCAUCUUUGUGGUCACAGGAUACAUAUUACUUGAUAUGUUCAGUUUGCAGUCAUUUACAGCGUUUUGUUUUUCUCUUUUUCGUACUAGAAUUUAGGAAAGAUUUUUGUGUGCAGCAAUGCUAUUGGAUUCAGAGUAAAUACAAAAAAAAAAAGAAUAAAAACUGUUUUGGAAAUGAAGUAUACAUUUGUGUAUGCUGGAGAGAGGAAGACCAAAGGUACAAGGAA